UUUAGUUAUUCAUAAAAUGUGUUGAGAAUAUACGUUCAUCAUAACUAAUCGAUUGAUGCUCAAUAUUUGUAUACCCCCAAUUCAAUUUUGAGUAGUUUUGGGUGGACAAUAUACAAAUGAAAACUAAAUCUCGAUUAUUCAUGCUCUGAAUAAAAAGUUUGCUGUUGUUGGAAUUUUAUUUGAAGGGGUGUCAGAGCGGAAAAAACAAAAAGUUUUGAAACUUUUUGGUGGUAUAUCGCGGACGUUGUAAGGUGCGAACCAGUUCCGACGAAGCUCUAAGCAAGAAAAGGUACGGAAAGGUAAGGCGCAGAAUAUCCGCGUCGGUAUGGAACGGAAGAACCAGAGAAACGAGUUCGAUCUGACCGGGGAAAUUCUCGGAAUCAAUCCGUACAUUGCCACCCUGUGGAUCUUUCGGCGGAUGUGGAUCAAACGGCAUGAAUGAACUAUCAACUUCAUUUAUUUCCAGGAAAAUGCAAAAAAAAAAAUAAAAAACGGCAAGUGAACCAGAAAUUGUACUGUGCCUGUAUCACCGGUGUUGGAUUCUGGAAACGCUCCGACGGACCCAAGAAACUAUAAGUCGAUUUCUUCUCACGGCAUUUACUGUCAUUUUCGGAUAAUCAACGAUAGGUUGCAAAAUAAACUGUUCCCAAAGUUCAGCUGAACUUAUAAACCGAUACCGAUACGAUUCAGAACAGCAUUUCCAGCUACUCAUCGUGCCACUACCGAAGGAAGCUGCUUCGGUGCUUGAUUUCCAACAUUCAAUCGGCGGCUUCAUAUUCAUUCAUUCAACACUUCGCGUAUACUGCAUUCCCAUACAAACAUCCAAACUUCAUACUGCAAGCUUGACGGAAGAGUCUUUUAAUUCUGGUCAUCUCAUCGGAACUUUUUUAAAAGAUCCUCGAUUCCCCCUGGGCCCCCUCUAGGUUAGGCAACAUGUUGAUGUGGUCCGUACCGGAUGUUCAAACGAAUGUCUUACCAGUUGAACCUUGAACCAUGUUUGGUGUUACGUUUGUUGCGGAUCUAAAUGAGAAAGAACAUUCCGGCAUUAGAAUUACCGGUAUUAUGUGUAUUUGACAAUAAAUAUUUUAUAG
Long non-coding RNA from Uranotaenia lowii, 1091 nucleotides. RefSeq lists it as uncharacterized. The record is from RefSeq and is a predicted model, not a curated record. NCBI's taxonomy places the organism in Eukaryota, Metazoa, Arthropoda, Insecta, Diptera, Culicidae. The transcript is spliced from 5 exons.